GAGAGAGGCCCGAGGCACUGGUGACUGCUAAUCCUCCAGCCCCAUGGUUAAACUCCACGGCUCACUCG
Molecule: transfer RNA, 68 nt
Filed under: Galaxias truttaceus (spotted mountain trout)
Lineage: Eukaryota; Metazoa; Chordata; Actinopteri; Galaxiiformes; Galaxiidae
Also listed under: 2 other names
Description: tRNA-Ser
Source: RNAcentral